UGUGUUUCUGGUAACCAACAACAAAGAGCAGAAACAAAAGCAACCAGAAAAUGGGAAAGGAAGCAGAGAAAGUGAGGAAACCUAGGUUUCUAUGCCUCCAUGGAUUUCGAACAAGCGGAGAAAUUCUCAAGAAACAGAUCCACAAGUGGCCUGAAUCAGUUGUUCAAAAGCUCGAUCUUGUUUUCCUAGACGGACCUUACCCGGCCCAAGGCAAAUCCGACGUUGAAGGGAUCUUCGAUCCUCCUUAUUACGAGUGGUUCCAGUUCAACAAGGAAUUUACCGAGUACACAAAUUUUGACGAGUGUCUUGCUUACAUCGAGGAUUUUAUGAUUAAGCACGGACCGUUCGAUGGUCUCCUGGGUUUUUCUCAGGGGGCAAUAUUAUCGGCGGGCCUGCCGGGGCUGCAAGCAAACGGUGUGGCUCUAACGAAGGUACCCAAAAUAAAGUUUCUGAUAAUAAUCGGAGGGGCUAAGUUUAAAUCACCAUCUGUGGCUGAGAAGGCGUAUGGUUCUCCAAUUCAGUGCCCAUCCCUCCACUUUUUAGGAGAGACGGACUUCUUGAAGCCAUAUGGAUUGGAGCUCUUGGAAUCAUGUGUAGACCCUGUUGUGAUUAAUCAUCCAAAGGGCCAUACCAUACCAAGACUUGAUGAAAAAGGUCAGGAAACCACGCUGAGCUUCAUUGAGAGGAUUGAAAAUACGUUGGCCCAGACAGAAAAUACUGAUAGUCUUUU
Molecule: unclassified non-coding RNA, 730 nt
Filed under: Hevea brasiliensis (rubber tree)
Lineage: Eukaryota; Viridiplantae; Streptophyta; Magnoliopsida; Malpighiales; Euphorbiaceae
Source: RNAcentral